This 481-nucleotide ribosomal RNA is filed under the name uncultured bacterium. Its description in RNAcentral is "partial 16S ribosomal RNA". It matches the Rfam family "Bacterial small subunit ribosomal RNA", at positions 29 to 506 of the family's 1533-position model. The record is from RNAcentral.
AUUGAACGCUGGCGGCAUGCUUUACACAUGCAAGUCGAACGGUAACAGGCCGCAAGGUGCUGACGAGUGGCGAACGGGUGUGUAAUUCAUCGGAACGUGCCCAGUCGUGGGGGAUAACUACUCUAAAGAGUAGCUAAUACCGCAUACGAUCUAUGGAUGAAAGCGGGGGACCGUAAGGCCUCGCGCGAUCGGAUCGGCCGAUGUCAGAUUAGGUAGUUGGUGGGGUAAAGGCUCACCAAGCCAACGCUCUGUAUCUGGUCUUUGAGGACAACCAGGCAAAGGGGGAAGGAGAAACGGCCAAGAAUCCAAGGGGAGGCAGAAGUGGGGAAUUUGGGACAAAGGGCGAAAGCCUGAACCAGAAAGGCCGCGGGAAGGAAGAAGGCCUGCGGGUUGUAAACUGCUUUUGUACGGAAAGAAAAGGCUCUGGUUAAUACCCGGGGGUAAUGACGGUACCGUAAGAAUAAGCACCGGCUAACUACGC